CCAAUAGCGUAUAUUAAAGUUGUUGCAGUUAAAAAGCUCGUAGUUGAAUUUCUGUCAGGAGUGACCGGGCCUUUGGAUGAACUUCCAUUGUUUUUUGCUCUGUUUGUCAUCUCUAGACAUCCUGAAAUAUUUUUUAAAAAUAUUUCUCUUUUACUGUUAGCAAAAUAGAGUGUUCCAAGCAAAGCGUAGUUUUGAAUACAUUAGAAUGGAAUAAUAAGAUAGGACUUUGGUGCUAUUUUGUUGGUUUGCACACCAAGGUAAUGAUUAAUAGGGACAGUUGGGGGUAUUCGUAUUUAAUUGUCAGAGGUGAAAUUCUUGGAUUUAUGAAAGACGAACUACUGCGAAAGCAUUUACCAAGGAUGUUUUCAUUAA
Molecule: ribosomal RNA, 372 nt
Filed under: uncultured eukaryote
Lineage: Eukaryota
Description: partial 18S ribosomal RNA
Rfam family: Eukaryotic small subunit ribosomal RNA
Source: RNAcentral